AACGAACGCUGGCGGCGCGUUUUAAGCAUGCAAGUCGAACGGGAUCCUGGUGCUUGCACUAGGUGAGAGUGGCGAACGGGUGAGUAACGCGUAGAUGAUCUGCCUUUCGGUCGGGGAUAGCCCAUGGAAACAUGGGGUAAUACCGGAUGAGCUCUUGGGGCUAUGGCCUUAGGAUGAAAGGGGCUUCGGCCUCGCCGAAAGAUGAGUCUGCGUAUGAUUAGCUAGUUGGUGGGGUAAAGGCCUACCAAGGCGACGAUCAUUAGCCGGCCUGAGAGGGUGACCGGCCACAUUGGGACUGAGACACGGCCCAGACUCCUACGGGAGGCAGCAGCUAAGAAUCUUCCGCAAUGGGCGAAAGCCUGACGGAGCGACGCCGCGUGGGUGAAGAAUGCGGAGACGUUGUAAAACCCUUUUAUCGCAGAAGAAUAACCCUUGGAGGUAAUGCCAGGGGGAUGACGUUAUGCGAUGAAUAAGCACCGGCCAAUUACG
Molecule: ribosomal RNA, 489 nt
Filed under: uncultured Spirochaeta sp.
Lineage: Bacteria; Pseudomonadati; Spirochaetota; Spirochaetia; Spirochaetales; Spirochaetaceae
Description: bacterial SSU rRNA
Rfam family: Bacterial small subunit ribosomal RNA
Source: RNAcentral